GGUCCAUUAAUAUCUCCGUUAAUGUUAGCAGAGAUCCAUAGCGAUGAUUUCCCUUUAAAGGGAGGAGUAUUUAUACAGAAAACAAUAUGUGACAGUGGUAGAGAUAACAUAGUUGUAAUGCUUACCACUUCACAAAAUGUAUCUGAUCUAAGCAAAUAUGAUAUAUCCGGUUAAUGGAUGGGAUGUACUUUGUUAGAGAAUGAACCACAUUCCAACUCCUCUCACCAGAGCGGACCUGCAGCAUGAGGACAGCUAAUGAAGGAUCUUUCGAUACAUGCAUCCACAACAGGGAAUAACCAGAAAAGGCCUUCCACAUUUUAAUUAUUUUUGAAAUGCACUUUGGUCAACUUUUAUUAUUCGCAGAAAAUCUUCUGUUUUGACAGAGCUCCACCCUGUGAUAACUAACCAUUUAUAUGAUUAGAGUGACUGAAGUAGAUCCAUCACACAAUGAUAUGAAAUUACCGUAAUAUAAUUCAAGACCUGGAUAACAAAUCUCAUUUAGUAUAGAUCUAUCAUUACCAUACAGGCAAAUACAACAUGAAAUGACAUCUUUCCCAUACUCUGUCCAUUCCCUGCAGUAACAACUAAGCAGCGAGGAGCAGGACUGCAAUUAUAGAAAACAUGCUGCUGACCUUGUUGGGAUCAUACACUGGACUGCCAUCAAAAGGUGAAAGAGCAAUGCAUUCUGACGGAUAAUGCAUUUAAUGCAAAGUGAUCAAAGUUCAAGAAUGGUAUAGCCUUAAUUAUGUCAAGUGGUCAUAACUGCUGCUAUUUACUGACAGCAACCAACUGUCCAACAUGUGAUGUUAUCUAUAAGCUGCUUCUACAAGAUUUAUCUUCCCACUGAAAUGAUGCGUGUGUGGUUAUCAAGUCUACUUUAUUUAGGAUACAAUGCACCUUUAUUGUAGUAAUUACUUCAGGAAAAUCCAAGGCAAGCUAUUAUAUUUACUGUAUUGUCACUGUCAUUUUACAAAUACAUUAGCUUGGUGUGCUGCAUCUUUCUAGCUAGACCUGAAAUGAACAUAUAGUGUCUCAUUUUAUUUCAUGAACAGGUGCUUUAGUUAAUAUGUAUAUAUUUAUUAUGUAUAAGCUUAUAUAACACAAACAUUUGGCUGUCACAUAUAUGAGAAAGCCGGAUAACAUUCACUGUAUAGAUCACAUUAAAACUGUAUGCUUGA
This is a long non-coding RNA of Protopterus annectens (West African lungfish), 1178 nucleotides long. RefSeq lists it as uncharacterized. The record is from RefSeq and is a predicted model, not a curated record. The transcript is spliced from 2 exons. NCBI's taxonomy places the organism in Eukaryota, Metazoa, Chordata, Ceratodontiformes, Protopteridae.